UGGGGAAUAUUGCACAAUGGGCGCAAGCCUGAUGCAGCCAUGCCGCGUGUAUGAAGAAGGCCUUCGGGUUGUAAAGUACUUUCAGCGGGGAGGAAGGGAGUAAAGUUAAUACCUUUGCUCAUUGACGUUACCCGCAGAAGAAGCACCGGCUAACUCCGUGCCAGCAGCCGCGGUAAUACGGAGGGUGCAAGCGUUAAUCGGAAUUACUGGGCGUAAAGCGCACGCAGGCGGUUUGUUAAGUCAGAUGUGAAAUCCCCGUGCUCAACCUGGGGACUGCAGCUGAUACUGGCAAGCUUGAGUCUCGUAGAGGGGUGUAGAAUUCCAGGUGUAGCGGUGAAAUGCGUAGAGAUCUGGAGGAAUACCGGUGGCGAAGGCGGCCCCCUGGACGAAGACUGACGCUCAAGUGCGAAAGCGUGGGGAGCAAACAGG
Molecule: ribosomal RNA, 429 nt
Filed under: Chloroflexota bacterium
Lineage: Bacteria; Bacillati; Chloroflexota
Description: Chloroflexi bacterium partial 16S ribosomal RNA
Rfam family: Bacterial small subunit ribosomal RNA
Source: RNAcentral